UACGCAGGGGGCUAGCGUUGCUCGGAAUCACUGGGCGUAAAGGGUGCGUAGGCGGGUCUUUAAGUCAGGGGUGAAAUCCUGGAGCUCAACUCCAGAACUGCCUUUGAUACUGAAGAUCUUGAGUCCGGGAGAGGUGAGUGGAACUGCGAGUGUAGAGGUGAAAUUCGUAGAUAUUCGCAAGAACACCAGUGGCGAAGGCGGCUCACUGGCCCGGUACUGACGCUGAGGCACGAAAGCGUGGGGAGCAAACAGG
This 253-nucleotide ribosomal RNA is filed under the name uncultured bacterium. Its description in RNAcentral is "partial 16S ribosomal RNA". It matches the Rfam family "Bacterial small subunit ribosomal RNA", at positions 524 to 776 of the family's 1533-position model. The record is from RNAcentral.